Molecule: signal recognition particle RNA, 275 nt
Filed under: Candidatus Woesearchaeota archaeon
Lineage: Archaea; Nanobdellati; Candidatus Woesearchaeota
Description: signal recognition particle sRNA
Rfam family: Archaeal signal recognition particle RNA
Source: RNAcentral
AGGUAGGCUAGGCUGGGUGGUUAGUCCUCACCUGUUACCUACAACGGACUUAUGUAGGAGCUGAAGCCUGGUAAGCGUCAUAUAUUUUAGCACAAGGUCCUUGUCUUGCCAAUGAAAUUUGGUCUUGCAGGACUUAUGCUUUUGCGAACCAUGUCAGGCCUUGAUCGGAGCAGCAUUAAGCUUUUGCACAGGUGCUUGCAAGGUCGCCAGAUGGAGAAUGGACAGGGAUUAAACCUUGAGCUGAUUUAUAUGGCCAUUAUUGGGCAUGCCUGCCU